GAUGAACGCUGGCGGCGUGCCUAAUACAUGCAAGUCGAGCGAACAGACGAGGAGCUUGCUCCUUCGACGUUAGCGGCGGACGGGUGAGUAACACGUAGGUAACCUACCUAUAAGACUGGGAUAACUUCGGGAAACCGGAGCUAAUACCGGAUAAUAUUUCGAACCGCAUGGUUCGAUAGUGAAAGAUGGCUUUGCUAUCACUUAUAGAUGGACCUGCGCCGUAUUAGCUAGUUGGUAAGGUAACGGCUUACCAAGGCAACGAUACGUAGCCGACCUGAGAGGGUGAUCGGCCACACUGGAACUGAGACACGGUCCAGACUCCUACGGGAGGCAGCAGUAGGGAAUAUUCCGCAAUGGGCGAAAGCCUGACGGAGCAACGCCGCGUGAGUGAUGAAGGUCUUCGGAUCGUAAAACUCUGUUAUUAGGGAAGAACAAACGUGUAAGUAACUGUGCACGUCUUGACGGUACCUAAUCAGAAAGCCACGGCUAACUACGUG
RNAcentral lists this ribosomal RNA (497 nucleotides) under uncultured bacterium. Its description in RNAcentral is "partial 16S ribosomal RNA". It matches the Rfam family "Bacterial small subunit ribosomal RNA", at positions 28 to 507 of the family's 1533-position model. The record is from RNAcentral.